RNAcentral lists this transfer RNA (70 nucleotides) under Camelus bactrianus (Bactrian camel). It matches the Rfam family "tRNA". From Rfam's summary of the family: Transfer RNA (tRNA) molecules are approximately 80 nucleotides in length. The record is from Rfam by way of RNAcentral. RNAcentral also lists the same sequence under 2 other names. Lineage: Eukaryota; Metazoa; Chordata; Mammalia; Artiodactyla; Camelidae.
GGAAAUAGCUCAGUGGUAGGGCACAUGCUUAGCAUGCACAAGGUCCUGGGUUCAAUCCCCAGUGCUUCCA